CAAAUAUUGACUGCCUGCUGUCCCCCUGUUCCGGGUGCCAGGAGUAUAGUGGACACAAGACCCCUGCCCUUAGAGGCCUUACAUUGUAACAGGAGUGCUGGACAGAUGUGCCUGUCUGUCGCAGACUGAGGAGCGCCAGGAAGUCCAAAGCCAAGCCCAAUGGCAAGAAGCCUGCUGCGGAGGAGAGGAAAGCCUACCUGGAGCCUGAGCACACCAAGGCCAGGAUCACCGACUUCCAGUUCAAGGAGCUGGUGGUGCUGCCCCGCGAGAUUGACCUUAACGAGUGGCUGGCCAGCAACACCACGACGUUUUUCCACCACAUCAACCUGCAGUAUAGCACCAUUUCGGAGUUCUGCACAGGAGAGACGUGUCAGACAAUGGCCGUGUGCAACACACAGUACUACUGGUAUGACGAGCGGGGGAAGAAGGUCAAGUGCACAGCCCCGCAGUACGUUGACUUUGUCAUGAGCUCCGUGCAGAAGCUGGUGACGGAUGAGGACGUGUUCCCCACAAAAUACGGCAGAGAAUUCCCCAGCUCCUUUGAGUCCCUGGUGAGGAAGAUCUGCAGACACCUGUUCCACGUGCUGGCGCACAUCUACUGGGCCCACUUCAAGGAGACGCUGGCCCUGGAGCUGCACGGACACUUGAACACGCUCUACGUCCACUUCAUCCUCUUUGCUCGGGAGUUCAACCUGCUGGACCCCAAAGAGACCGCCAUCAUGGACGACCUCACCGAGGUGCUAUGCAGCGGGGCCGGCGGGGU
RNAcentral lists this small RNA (763 nucleotides) under Pongo abelii (Sumatran orangutan). RNAcentral's name for it is "processed transcript". Lineage: Eukaryota; Metazoa; Chordata; Mammalia; Primates; Hominidae. The record is from RNAcentral.